UACGGAGGGUGCAAGCGUUAAUCGGAAUUACUGGGCGUAAAGCGCACGCAGGGGGCUUGUUAAGUCAGAAGUGAAAUCCCCGGGCUCAACCUGGGAACUGCAUCUGUGACUGGCAAGCUUGAGUGUAGUAGAGGGGGGUGGAAUUCCCGGUGUAGCGGUGAAAUGCGUAGAGAUCUGGAGGAAUACCAGUGGCGAAGGCGGCCACCUGGACUGACACUGACGCUCAGGUGCGAAAGCGUGGGUAGCAAACAGG
This 253-nucleotide ribosomal RNA is filed under the name uncultured bacterium. RNAcentral describes it as "partial 16S ribosomal RNA". It matches the Rfam family "Bacterial small subunit ribosomal RNA", at positions 524 to 776 of the family's 1533-position model. The record is from RNAcentral.